CAUUAUCGUAUGAUGGGGGGUGCUGGGGUUGUCGCUGACUUUUGAAAGGGUCGUGCACGCCUCGGUGCUCUCACACAUAUAAUCCAUCUCACCCCUUUUGUGCAUCACCGCGUGGGGACCCCUUUUGGCUAGUUCUGAGGGGGGUUUUCACGUUUUUACAAAGACACCCUUUUUAAUGCAAUGUGUAGAAUGUCUUACUUUUUGCGAUCAUACGCAAUCAAUACAACUUUCAACAACGGAUCUCUUGGCUCUCGCAUCGAUGAAGAACGCAGCGAAAUGCGAUACGUAAUGUGAAUUGCAGAAUUCAGUGAAUCAUCGAAUCUUUGAACGCACCUUGCGCCCCUUGGCAUUCCGAGGGGCACACCCGUUUGAGCGUCGUGACAUCCUCAAACCUUCUUGGUUUCUUGACCAGGAAGGCUUUGGACCUUGGAGGUUUUUUUGCUGGCUUUCCUUUGUUGGAGCCAGCUCCUCUGAAAUGAAUUAGUGGGGUCUGCUUUGCCGAUCCUUGACGUGAUAAGAUAUUUUCUACGUCUUGGGUUUUGCACUCCUGCUUCUAACCGUCUCACAGAAGACAAACGGUCAAGUGAUCGCCACUUUGACCCAUGAACCUGACCUCAAAUCGGGUGAGACUACCC
RNAcentral lists this ribosomal RNA (635 nucleotides) under Russula sp. LM1958. RNAcentral's name for it is "eukaryotic LSU rRNA". The stretch from base 225 to 378 matches the Rfam family "5.8S ribosomal RNA". The record is from RNAcentral. Lineage: Eukaryota; Fungi; Basidiomycota; Agaricomycetes; Russulales; Russulaceae.